Trichonephila clavipes is the source of this 73-nucleotide non-coding RNA. The record is from the annotation of a GenBank genome assembly. Lineage: Eukaryota; Metazoa; Arthropoda; Arachnida; Araneae; Nephilidae.
ACCCCAAUAGCGCAAUGGAUAGCGCAUUUGACUUCUAAUCCGAAAGUCGUGGUUUCGAAUCCCGCUUGGGAUG